Engraulis encrasicolus (European anchovy) is the source of this 771-nucleotide long non-coding RNA. RefSeq lists it as uncharacterized. The transcript has 3 exons. Lineage: Eukaryota; Metazoa; Chordata; Actinopteri; Clupeiformes; Engraulidae. The record is from RefSeq and is a predicted model, not a curated record.
GUUCUGUUAACUCUGUUUCCUUCUUCUCAUUCCUCGCCCAAGAGGUAUGCAGCACGCUCGUUCAGAAUCGGCGUGGCCACCACGGCCACUAAGCGGGGUCUGUCCCCUACUGCGAUCAAGGCGCUGGGCCGUUGGUCGUCUGGCGCAUGCGCUUCCUGCAUUUGCCUCACUCCUCAUCACGUCAUUGAAGCAUGCUAUAUCUGGUCUGUAACUUUAUGUUUUCUAUUCUCAUUUCUGGUGACGGUGGUAUUUUGCUGCGUCGGCGGCAUUCACUCUAUCUCUUGGGGGGCUAUCGCUCCGGUCACCCGGUCAUGUCUGUAUUCUAUCCUUCUCUCAUCUAUCAGAUUGAUUUUAUAGUGGUCCGUAAGCCUGUUAUCUCCAUAUUUUGUAACAUCGAACCAGCCAGGCUAGUUGCCGUGGUUGUUUAUCCGUGAUGUCAACUAUCAUACCAUAUUACAUUAUAUUAUAGCCUACGUUCAUUCAUUCAUCCAUUCAUUCAUUUACUCAUUCAUCACCAUGUUCUACUCUCUCCCUUAGGUCACGAUUCCGGCUCCCUACCUACUGUCAUAAUCUAAGUUUUCAGCGCUCUCCUGACCAAGAUGGUGUCUCCUUGUAAGCUGUAGUUAAGCCGACUUUGAAGCCACCACCACCCCUCCGUCCACCGUCACCAGUGGUUCCCGUCUGUUAGGGGGCAGGCUACGCCCGCCUCCAUCUCCGCUGGAGGAUAUGCCGUCCUACCCCGGAGUUCAACGCGAAGACGGGAACCUUCGC